UAGGUGAACCUGCGGUGGGAUCAUUACAUGAUUGCUGACACGCUUGUGCGGACCGCUUGGGGAAUGCGGCCGGGGGGGGAGGGGCGCUUGGCGCCUGUCUGUGCUCUCUCUCUCUCUCCGGCUGGUGUGGCCUGGCUGGGGCCCUGGCUGCCUGCUUGUCUGCCUAGCGCAGGCGGCGGCGGCGGGGGGCCUGGCCGGCCGCUUUUGUCAAAGCAUGUUGGUUGGGCGUACUACUUGAACCGGCGUACACUUUUGCUCGUUGAGCAACUAACUGUAUACAACUAUCAAUGGUGGAUCACUUGGCUCUUGCAUCGAUGAAGAACGCAGCGAAUUGCGAAAAGUAUUGUGAAACGCACCGCGUGAAUCAUUGAGUCUUUGAACGCACAUUGCACUCUGCACUUGCUGCAGAGUAUGUCUAUUUGAGCACCAGCUUAACCCCCACACCGGCCCUCCGGGGCGGGUGGAUGUGAGCGCUCCAUUUUCGGACGAGGAUGGUCGCUUUAAAGACGGAGACAGGCCCGCGUCCUCCUUCCCCCUGGCGGGGAGGGGGCGGGGGCGCGUGGGGCGCGAUGCUGCUUGUUCUGGCCAGAAAAAGCACCCUCUGCAACAGUGGGCGCUGCCGGCCGGCGGGCGGGGCUGCGAGACGCGGGAAAAAUCAUUUGGUUGGACUUGUCCAUCACAUUCGUGUAUUCCGGCGUCGUUUGAGCAGGCUCGCAGCUGGCGGGGCAGGUGCCUGGCGGAGGCCGGUGCGGCCUGGGACGGGCGCGUCGGAGCCCUUGGUUGCUCGCGCACACCUUGCACACUAUAUAUUUUGGUCUCAGAUUAGGCAAGACUACCCGCUGAACUUAAGCAUAUC
This 856-nucleotide ribosomal RNA is filed under the name Coemansia mojavensis. Its description in RNAcentral is "eukaryotic LSU rRNA". The stretch from base 280 to 429 matches the Rfam family "5.8S ribosomal RNA". Lineage: Eukaryota; Fungi; Kickxellomycota; Kickxellomycetes; Kickxellales; Kickxellaceae. The record is from RNAcentral.